UACGUAGGGGGCAAGCGUUGUCCGGAAUCAUUGGGCGUAAAGAGCGUGUAGGCGGCCAGAUAAGUCCGCUGUGAAAUCUCGAGGCUCAACUUCGAGCUGUCGGUGGAAACUGUCUGGCUAGAGUCCGGAAGAGGAGAAUGGAAUUCCUGGUGUAGCGGUGAAAUGCGCAGAUAUCAGGAAGAACACCCGUGGCGAAGGCGGUUCUCUGGGACGGUACUGACGCCGAGACGCGAAAGCGUGGGGAGCGAACAGG
This 253-nucleotide ribosomal RNA is filed under the name uncultured bacterium. RNAcentral's name for it is "partial 16S ribosomal RNA". It matches the Rfam family "Bacterial small subunit ribosomal RNA", at positions 524 to 776 of the family's 1533-position model. The record is from RNAcentral.